UCCCCUGGAAUGCACUCCAAUAGAGAGGACGUGCAAAGAUUCACAUUGGCCCUAGAAUCUAGUAAUCUAGUGACAUUCGUGAGAAAGUUAGGUCUCCUGUGGUGCUAUUCUCGAACUCACUCGGCUUUUUUUCGCAUGCAAAAAUUUUCGAGCAAUAGAUUCGUAUACGAAAAUUGUCGAGCGCGAUUGGUAUUUUCGAGUCCCACUCGAUGUGCUUUUGAAGGUAAAGUCGUAUGCGAAGUGUAGUGCGACGUUGCUGAUGUUUCAAUGUAAUGAAUUGACCAAUGAAACGGUGAGCACAGAAGAAAGUGCCGCGCAUUCUGAAGUUCUGAUACAAAUAUGGAAGUAAACAAAGUGUGGACGAAAGGUUAAACAGAAACAUUAAUUUUUUACUAAUAUAUCGUUACAAAAUAUGACAGGGGAGCAGAAGGUUUUGCUUGUUGAAUACGUGAGGAAACGUCCAAAACUAUUACAAAGAAAAUUUUCACCAGAUUUUACUUUUAAAGACUCUCAGUGACUAUGAGAAGAAUUAACCGCGAUUCAUAAUGCUGUACCUGGAGCCAAGAAGGAUUGGAAGCAAUGGAGAUAAACGUGGCAAGAUAUGAGAUCGAAAACGAAGGACAAGAAAACUACUUUAAACUGAGAAAAAAGUAGAACUGGUGGCGGACCCCAAACUAAAGUGGAAUUUAAAGAUAUAGAGGAGCAAAUAGAUGAAUUAAUAUUGAAUAACGAAGCAUUUGGUUAUGAAAGCAUCGAGGAAUCUGCAACUGACUUUGUAAUUGUUGACAUGCCUUGUCUACUUUUAAUUCACUAAGAAUUUGGCGAAAACAUGUGUAUUUCAUUUGCGUUUUUUUCACAUGUUUGGUGACGGAACGCUGCCGCAAAGUUCAAUAAAUUCUUUGUUGUAUAAUGAUCGGAUGGAAGAUGAAUAUAAAAAUGAAGAUAGGAUUGAGGAUGAAAAUGAGGAUCAGAAUCAGAAUGUGCAGAAAAAAAGAGGCUAACGAGCGAAACAUAAUGAGACAGCGUAUAACAGUUCUAGCACUAAAAAAAAAAAGAAACUAAGCGUGCCAGCUGAAGAGACUGAAGAAGUCAGUUACUGAAGCAUCCAAACUCGUAGAUGUUUCUUGUGACACAUAUGAACUAAAAAAAUGGUAAUAUGAGAAAAACGUAAUGUGUCUCUAGCGAAUUACCUGUGCAGUGGAGAAAUUUUGUGGCAUUAGUGAAGAGCAGUGCCCAGCAGAGUUUCUAGAAGAUGUAUAAUGUUUUUAUUUAUCUGCUCUUUAAAUAUUUUUUUAACACUUCUACGUUUGUUUUUUGAGUUCUCAGAAUUAUAAAAUGUUAUUAGUGAAUUUUACUCCGGAGCCGAACUCUAAAAUUUGAAGUCAAAUGUCCUAUUACAGUCAAAGAUAAAUUCCUAAUCUGUCAUACAAUUUGCCUUGGGCUUUUUUUAUAUAUAAUUCUCGCAGUACUAAAAUUUUAAAGCUAUUGAUUUCAAACUGUGAUAUUUCAAGUUUUUUGACUUUGAACAAGUAUUGUGAAAAAUGUAAACCUUCAACAUAAUUGGGAUUUCGAUGGAAGCUUUCCUUAAACUCUAAAAUAAAAUUGCUAAAAAUAUCUAAACCGGAUCUGAAACAAUGGAAAUGCUGCACUUAUAAUAUUAAGUCAUAAUUUUGUCUGUUUUGACAUUUCUAAAUGUACGUUGUAGGAGGUUUCGAUAGAGUAAUCGGCCUGACAGAUAAUUAUAUUUUGGUUUAUUUAUAUCUAUAAGUUUAUAAAGUUUUAUAUAUUUUCUAUAUUUUGGAUUAACGAAUCCAUGUGCUAGACCUUUUGAAUAAGGGUUAAACCAAAGCUUUAACAUUGUAUAACCACA
Molecule: long non-coding RNA, 1870 nt
Organism: Belonocnema kinseyi
Lineage: Eukaryota; Metazoa; Arthropoda; Insecta; Hymenoptera; Cynipidae
Exons: 3
Source: RefSeq, a predicted model, not a curated record